Molecule: transfer RNA, 80 nt
Filed under: Glycine max (soybean)
Lineage: Eukaryota; Viridiplantae; Streptophyta; Magnoliopsida; Fabales; Fabaceae
Description: tRNA-Ile
Source: RNAcentral
GCCUCAUGAGUUUAGUUGGUUAGACUUAGAGCGUUGUGCUGAUAACCUCAAAGUCACAAGUUCAAUUCUUGUUUGAGCCA